UAUAAUACUAAUAUUAAUUAUUUUCUUUACUUGAUCGAUUCUACUUCUUCCUUCACAUGGAUUAGUGAAUCAAAAUUUUCUUAUGUUUUGUAUACAUGUGCAUGAAUUGGUCUAGAUCAAAGCCAUGUCUUCUGCAAAUCAAUCUAGAAAAUUUGAAUCAGAUUAUCAAAAGCGUAAGAAAAAACAAAGGAUGGAAGAAUUAACUCAAUCUCAAAAAGGAGCUAUGGAUAGAUUUAUUAGAAAAUAAUCGCGAGUGUCCUCCAAUAAUCAGACAAUUGAUCAGAGUCAUCCAAUUGAUGAUAAUGCUGAUAGUGAUCCUAUAGAUGGGCAUGGGCAAAUAGAGACUGAAAAUAAUUUUGAGAUAUAGGAAGUUCUUAAUGACAACACAAAUGAGCAAAUGGAUAAUAAUGGUGAUAAUUUGGAUACUAAUCCCGUUGAGGAUGUUGAUGAUUCUUUUCAGUCAGAUAUAUUUGAUCCUAGGUAUUGGGAUUCGCUUGAUGCUAAACAAACUGACAUUUUAGCAGAAAAGGGAGCUAAAAGAGACUUAUCAAUUCAAAAAGGUCCUAGGGAUAGAUAUUCUAGAAGGUUUUGUGCACAAUUCUAUACUAGAGUAUUAUCAAAUGGAGAGCAUUGCGAUAGGGAUUGGCUUGUUUAUUCUAAAGAGCUCGAUAGAGUAUUUUGCUUAAAGAGCUCGAUAGAGUAUUUUGCUUCAGUUGUAAAUUAUUCACAAAAGGGAACCGGAAAGGUUAUCUGGCAAAUGAGGGGUAUAGUGAUUGGGCACAUCUUGGCACUAGAAUUAAAGAGCAUGAGACAAGUGCUGAUCAUGUUUUAAAUAUGAUCGCUUGGUAUGAGCUGCGUAGUAGACUGCAAAAGGAUCAAACUAUUGAUAAAACUGCUCAGCAACAACUUGAGAAAGAAAAGGACCAUUGGAAAAAAGUUCUGUUCAUAAUUGUCUCCAUUCUAAAAUUUCUUGCCAAGCAUAAUCUAGCAUUUCGUGGUAGUAACAGCAAACUAUCGGAUACAUCUUUAAUUAUAAGAUACGUGGAUACAUCUUCCGGUCAUGUUUCGAAGAAUCCUUUCUAGGAUUUUUAGAUGUAAACAAUACGACUGGAGAAGGACUCUUUAAUGUGCUACGGAAUGAGCUAAAGCAACUUGAUCUUAAUAUAGAUGAUGUGAGAGGAUAAGGCUAUGAUAAUAGGGCAAAUAUGAAAUGAUGCAACAAGGGAGUAAAGACAAAAUUUUUGGAUGUAAAUCCUAGAGCUUUCUAUUCUGCUUGUGGUUGUCAUAGCCUUAAUCUUAUACUUUGUGACAUGGCCAAGAAUUGUGGUAGAGCUAAAGAUUUUUUUGGGAUCAUCCAACACAUCUACACAACAUUUGCUAAUUCCACUAAGAAAUGGCAGAUUCUCAAACAUAAUAUAAUAGGAUGGACUCUCAAGUCAGUGUCAACUACACGUUGGGAGAGUCGUGUUGAAAGUGUUAAAACUAUUAGAUUUCAAUGUGCAGAUAUCCGGGAGGCUCUACUUCAGGUAUCUGAUAUUGAAAAUGAUGUAAAAAUAAGCAGUGAGGCUAAAGGUCUAGCAAAUAAUGAACUUGGAGAGUACGAAUUUAUAGUGGCAAUAGUAAUUUGGUAUGAAGUAUUAUAUGCCAUUAAUUUAGUAAGUAAAUAGUUGCAAUCAAAGGAUAUGCUUAUUGAUGUUGCUAUUGAGGAAGUGAAGGGGCUGAUUGCGUUCUUCAAAGGGUACAGGGAAACUGGUUUCUUAGAGGUAUUGGAGACAGCAAAAGGAAUUGCACUUGAGAUAGAUAUUGGUAUAGAGUUUCAAAAGAAACGAGAGAUUAAAAGAAAGAGACAUUUUGAUGAGAAUCCAGAUGAUGCAAAUGCUUCCACACAGUCUGCAGAGGAAUCAUUUAGAAUCAACUAUUUUCUAAAUAUCGUUAAUCAAGCUAUUUCCUCACUUACAACGAGAUUUGAACAGUAUCAAGUCUUGAGGGCGCCCUUACAAGAGAUGGUAAAUCUGAUAUUGAUGCUAAUGAAUUGUUUGUGGAGUUAAUGUUUCUUCAAGAUUUCAUUCCAGAAGAAAAUAUGGGUCCUAUUGAGAUUCUAAAGUUUCUGAAGCGACAUGAUUAUUUUCCCAAUGCUAUUAUUGCAUAUAGAGUUCUCUUAACUAUUCCUAGAACUGUUGCAUCAGCAGAACGUAACUUUUCUAAAUUGAAGCUACUGAAGUCUUACUUGCGUUCUACAAUGACACAAGAAAGACUAAAUGAUUUGGCCAUGAUAGCACUUGAGAGUGACAUAUUGGAGAAGAUUGAAUAUGAGUUUAUUAUUGAAAAUUUCAUUUCAAGGAACACCAAAAGAAUGAUGCUCUUCGAAUAAAGAUUAUGCAACAAGAUUAAACAGGAUCUCGGUUUAUGCUGGUCUCGGGUGGGACGAGGGUCUUUUUACAAGUAUACCGGCUCACAUAUGGCAAACCGACGCCCGUGGUACGUGUCCUGCACUGCAUUUCGGAGGAUUCAUUUUGACAUGUUCUUGCAUCGAGGAUUAUAGUAUUCUUAGACGAUUGUUUGGCCCCCAAGAGAGUUUUGCUGCAACUUGUUUUCAUCUAAUCAGUUUCGAAUAUUUGAUUUCUUUGGAUUGAAAUAUUUUUUCUUUCAACAAAUAUCCUAUGCACGUUUUGCAUUCAGAGGAAGAGAAUAAAUGGUACUAUCUCCUGAUCCAAAUUUGAUGGGGUUUUGGGCAGCUAAUUUCAUUCGCUUUUUCUUGCUAUUUGAAACGUCAACUGCUUCGGACCGGAGGCAAUAAUUGGAAAUUACGGUCAUCCAAGAUUUAAAUAAAUCUGCCAGCCGGAAAGAUUACCCCACAACAUUGAACUCAGAAGAAAUCUCAGCCAAUUUGACGGGGAAAACCUCCAAACUCCAGCUUCACCCUAUAGGGCCGCACCGUAACCUAAACCGAUCACAGUUAAUCUGCCUGAGAAAACUUUCGAACCCCAGCUUCACCCUAUAGGUUGCACUGUAACCUAGGCCGACCACGACCAACUGGGUUGGCGACAACUGCAACUACCUUUGGUAGGAGGGACCAAACCAAUCAUAGGUGCCGAUAUAGGAGGAUCCAAACCAACCAUAGGUGCCACAUAGUUAGUGUCUCCCUCGGACUGGGAAUACAAGAGUGUUGGCUCAACAUGUAUUACAACAAACGAAUUAACGAAAGGACAUGGUGCUCCAUGUAAUGAUUCUUUCACCAUGACUUUGCAAGAGCGCAAUGUACAUAUGCCACUUCAGUUUGGAGUAGUAUGUUUGAUCUUCUUCAGUUUGAAGUAUCUCUAUCUUGUCUAUGUGUGGCACGUUGGUGAUUUGUUGUUGGGUUGAUCUCGGCUAAACGGUCAGUAGACCAAGUUCGAGAAGGGGCGACACCCCAUUCCGUUACUCGCGUCCUGAUCAUCCCGUCGCGCAGCGCAACAAUGGGGGGGCGGGGGCCUCACUGUACGUUAAGCCUCUCUACUAAUCCGAUCUGCAAAGAGCGCUGAAGCGAUAAGAAGACUGCCGCCUCUUCACUUCGAGUUGACACCAUCGCACAGACGACGUCAGCCACCUCUACGUCAACUCUAAGUCCACUUCGACCUUCUGCCUCGCGCAUGCUUCAAGCAGGCCUGUGGACUUCAUCUCUUGAGCACAAUGGCUUCCUCCAGUAAAGGUUCCACUGGCUCGAACAUUACUGGGGCCAUUAAUGGUAUUCCGCAUUCCUCUGUUGAGUGGAAGCAACUUCAGGGAAAAAUUGGAGGUUCUGCUUGCAGUGCUGAAUCUUGAUCAUGCUAUGAGAUUUGAUCCUCCUAAGGAACUAGCAGAUAAUGCUGGUGCUGAUGCCAAGAGGCAGUAUGGUGCUGAAAAAGAAUGGUGGGAUGAUUCCAACCGAAAGUGUCUCUUGGUAAUUAAGGGCUCUAUAAGUGAAGGAAUAAGGGUUGCUGUCCCUGACCGUGAUAAGGAGGAUAAUGCCAUCAUGUACUCGGCUAAGGAAUACCUUGGCAAAGUUGAUGAUCAGUUCAAGGGAUCAUCUAAGACUUAUGCAAAUACUCUGAUUCAGAGGCUUGUAAACAAUAAGUAUGAUGGCACUGUUGGUAUGAGGGAGCAUAUCAUGAGAAUGUGUAACACGGCAGCAAAGCUGAAGGAAAUGAAGAUGGAUAUCUCAGAUGGGUUCCCUGUUUAUUUCAUCAUGACUUCACUCUCAAAGGAAUUCUCUCAGUUCACAAUUAAUUACAAUGCCAUGAAAGAUAAGUGGAGCAUUGAUAAACUGAUGGCAAUGUGUGUGCAAGAGGAGGAAAGGCUCAAGGCACAAAGGAUUGACUAUGUCAAUCAAGCUCAAGAUGAGCUAAGGAAGCAUGAGUAUGACUUAUUUAAGCCUAAGAAACAGCAAUUCAAGAAGAAGGGACAACAGCCUCCACCUGAUAAAAGCAAGUGGUUGAAGGAGUCUGGUGAAACUAGUGAUCAACGCACUAAGCCUAAUGGAGAAAAGGAAGGAUGCCAUUUUGUGGUAGUCUUAAACAUCUUCAGAGAGACUGCAUUAGGUUUCCUGAAGUGUCUCAAUAAGAGAGGUAACACAUAUUUGUAUAUGAGAGUCCUUUAGAUUGUUUACUAGAAACAUUAAAGCCGCGCCCACCGUGGAGCUGACCAGCUUAGCUCAGGACGUAUGCCUUGUGAUGCAAAUGGAUCGUCGGUCCAGUAUUAAGAUGAUUCACAUCUAUUGAUAAUAAAUUUAGGUAAGGAGUAGUGGUAAUUAUUGGUUUAUUGUAUUCAUUUUAACAAUGUCAAUACACAUAUCAUCUUUUGCAUACUGUGGUGCUACUUGUUUUGUGUUUCA
Setaria italica (foxtail millet) is the source of this 4849-nucleotide RNA transcript. RefSeq lists it as uncharacterized. Lineage: Eukaryota; Viridiplantae; Streptophyta; Magnoliopsida; Poales; Poaceae. The record is from RefSeq and is a predicted model, not a curated record. The transcript has 4 exons.